AACUGGGAUUAGAUACCCCACUAUGCCUAGCCUUAAACACAAAUAGUUAUGUAAACAAAACUAUUCGCCAGAGUACUACCGGCAAUAGCUUAAAACUCAAAGGACUUGGCGGUGCUUUAUACCCUUCUAGAGGAGCCUGUUCUAUAAUCGAUAAACCCCGAUAAACCUCACCAUUCCUUGCUACUACAGUCUAUAUACCGCCAUCUUCAGCAAACCCUAAAAAGGUACAAAAGUAAGCACAAUCAUAAUACAUAAAAACGUUAGGUCAAGGUGUAACCUAUGGAACGGAAAGAAAUGGGCUACAUUUUCUAAUCUAAGAAAAUCCAACACGAAAGUUAUUAUGAAACUAAUAACCAAAGGAGGAUUUAGCAGUAAACUAAGAAUAGAGUGCUUAGUUGAAUUAGGCCAUGAAGCACGCACACACCGCCCGUCACCCUC
This 438-nucleotide ribosomal RNA is filed under the name Cervus nippon (sika deer). Its description in RNAcentral is "partial 12S ribosomal RNA". It matches the Rfam family "Bacterial small subunit ribosomal RNA", at positions 770 to 1404 of the family's 1533-position model. Lineage: Eukaryota; Metazoa; Chordata; Mammalia; Artiodactyla; Cervidae. The record is from RNAcentral.